UUUCUAUUGCUUUUUUUUGUUUGGUGUGUACCUCUGCAGUAUAUGGUGGCGGGCGAGCGGAACUUCUUUCCACUGCUCCUGGAGGCGUCAAGCCCUCUCUAGUGAUCGGAUGGGAGUGCCAGGUUCAGUCCCAUCUUGGCUUUAGUAUGUCUCUCUACUUCUAUUCUACUGAAUAUUGUUCUUGGAGCUUCAAAGGCAAUUGCUUUACUGGUGAACAUGUGUAGGAGGAUUUGUGGUUUAGCAUUAUUAGACCUCUGUAAAUGCAUGUCUAGGAGGUUUCUUGGAGCUGUAGUGUAUUAUGUAAGUCCAUCAAAGCUAUUUGCUUUAUUGGUGAACAUGUAUAGGAGGAUUCAUUGUUAGACCUCUGUACAUACAUGUUUGCACUGUCCUAUAAAAAGACUCUCCUUUGGUGGUGAGCAUAAAAAGGAAGAAAGUUACUACUCACAAUAAAAUUUAAUUGGGUAAACUGUAGAAGCUAACUUUGUUAGAGAAAGGUUCAUAACCCACCCUUUCUUUCUUGCAGGAUUGAGAAGAUUGUGACUUUGAAACCUUUUAGAUGUACAGAAAGAAACCAGAUUGUGUUUGUACAUAAUGAUGGUGAGAAGAUCAAAUAUAUGGUAUGGGAAGUGGUUUCACUGAUUGUACUUGUACAACAAAAGAGCAGAUUGUGUUUCCUUUUAGAAGAUAACUUUUGUCGGCAAUUGUGUUGCUUGCAAGCAGAAUAUUUAUUGUAUUGUGUUGCUUGCAAAAGAGUUUAAUAUUGUAUACGGUGCUACAUGUCAUAAUAUUUUUAGUUUCUGUUAGUUCUGUUUAUUUGCAUCUUGUGCUUUUAGUCCAUGGACACAUGCAACAUAUGGAACCACAAACUAGGUGUAAUCCGAUGUUCCCUUGGUAGAACCUGCUUUGAGAAAAUAGUACCAAGUGUUCCAAGCUUUCCACUAUCUUUUGGUGAUUAUUUUGUUGUUCU
RNAcentral lists this long non-coding RNA (967 nucleotides) under Triticum aestivum (bread wheat). Its description in RNAcentral is "long non-coding RNA (TAES_LNC027681)". The record is from RNAcentral. Lineage: Eukaryota; Viridiplantae; Streptophyta; Magnoliopsida; Poales; Poaceae.